Molecule: ribosomal RNA, 350 nt
Filed under: Paraphrynus carolynae
Lineage: Eukaryota; Metazoa; Arthropoda; Arachnida; Amblypygi; Phrynidae
Also listed under: 1 other name
Description: partial small subunit ribosomal RNA
Source: RNAcentral
UCUGAGUUAAAGUUAAAAGGGUAGUAGGAGUAGAUCUUGAAACCUAAAAUUUUUGGCGGUUUUUUAGUCUAAUUAGAGGAAUCUGUUCUGUAAUAGAUGUUCCACUUUUUAUUUAACUUUGGAAAAAACUUAUAUAUCGCCGUCGUAAAGGAAGAUUUUUAGGUCUUGUUAGAGAAUCUUGGGGUAAGAUGUUAUGACAGGUCAAGGUGUAGUUGAUGUCAAAGGGUGAAAUGGAUUACAAUCUUGAAUUGAAGAAAUGAAUAUUAAUGAGAAUAAUUAUUAAUUGAAGGUGGAUUUAAAAGUAAUAAUUUAUUAAGAUGAAAUUAUGAAAAGUUGGCUCUGGAAAAUGU